UAGGGAAUCUUCCACAAUGGACGAAAGUCUGAUGGAGCAACGCCGCGUGAGUGAAGAAGGGUUUCGGCUCGUAAAGCUCUGUUGGUAGUGAAGAAAGAUAGAGGUAGUAACUGGCCUUUAUUUGACUGUAAUUACUUAGAAAGUCACGGCUAACUACGUGCC
RNAcentral lists this ribosomal RNA (162 nucleotides) under uncultured bacterium. Its description in RNAcentral is "partial 16S ribosomal RNA". It matches the Rfam family "Bacterial small subunit ribosomal RNA", at positions 355 to 509 of the family's 1533-position model. The record is from RNAcentral.